RNAcentral lists this ribosomal RNA (329 nucleotides) under uncultured eukaryote. RNAcentral describes it as "partial 18S ribosomal RNA". It matches the Rfam family "Eukaryotic small subunit ribosomal RNA", at positions 1470 to 1796 of the family's 1831-position model. The record is from RNAcentral.
CCCUUAGAUGUUCUGGGCCGCACGCGCGCUACACUGACGAUGGCAACGAGUUUUUCCUUCGCCGAAAGGUGUGUGUAAUCUUUUGAAACAUCGUCGUGCUGGGGAUAGAUCAUUGCAAUUUUUGAUCUUGAACGAGGAAUUCCUAGUAAGCGCGAGUCAUCAGCUCGCGUUGAUUACGUCCCUGCCCUUUGUACACACCGCCCGUCGCUACUACCGAUUGAAUGGUUUAGUGAGGACUCCUGAUUGGCGCCGCCGCCCCGGCAACGGAGCAGCGGACUGCCGAAAAGUUGUUCAAACUUGAUCAUUUAGAGGAAGUAAAAGUCGUAACA